GCCAAACAGCUAGCUUAACUAUUAUAUUAACAAAAAAAUAUUAAUAACAAACAAUAACCUUAAAUCAACAAAUUAAACCAUUCUACACAUCUUAGUAUGGGCGACAGAACAGAUUCAACAAAGCAAUAGAGAAAGUACCGCAAGGGAAAGCUGAAAGAGAAAUGAAACAAACCAUAUAAGCACUAAAAAGCAGAGCUCAGCCCUCGUACCUUUUGCAUCAUGAUUUAGUUAGUAUAAUAAAGCAAAGAGACCUUUAGUUUUACACCCCGAAACCAGGUGAGCUACCCCGAGACAGCCUAUUCAUUUAGGGCAAACUCAUCUCUGUGGCAAAAGAGUGAGAAGAGCUCCGGGUAGAAGUGACAGACCUACCGAACCUGGUGAUAGCUGGUUGUCUAAGAAAUGAAUAGAAGUUCAGCCUCGUACACCCCAAAUUUAAAACACAAAAUUAAAAUUAAGAGCAACAUACGAGAGUUAGUUAAAAGGGGUACAGCCCUUUUAACACAGGAUACAACCUUUAAAGGAGAAUAAAGAUCAUAAUAACCAAAACAUAAUGUUCUAGUGGGCCUAAAAGCAGCCAUCUAAAUAGAAAGCGUUAAAGCUCAAACAAAAACAGUUAAUAAUACUGAUAAACAAUCUUACUUCCCUAAAAGUACUAGACCAAUCCAUGCAUCCAUGGAAGAAACUAUGCUAAAAUGAGUAACAAGAAGAACAUAACCUUCUCCCAGCAUAAGUGUAAGUUAGAUCGGACAAACCACUAACAAUCAACGAACCCAAUAAAAGAGGGAAUUGUGAAUAAUAAAUUAAAUAAGAUCUCACAACCAAAGAUCGUUACCCCUACACUGGAAUGCACAACAGGGAAAGACUAAAAGAAAGGGAAGGAACUCGGCAAACACAAGCCUCGCCUGUUUACCAAAAACACCGCCUCCUGCGGAACAAAUAUAGGAGGUCCAGCCUGCCCAGUGACUUCAAGUUCAACGGCCGCGGUAUUCUGACCGUGCAAAGGUAGCGCAAUCACUCGUCCCUUAAAUAAGGUCCUGUAUGAAUGGCUAGACGAGGGCUUAACUGUCUCCCCCUUCAGGUCAGUGAAAUUGAUCUAUCCGUGCAGAAGCGGAUAUAAAAAUACAAGACGAGAAGACCCUUUGGAGCUUUAGGUACAAGACUUACUUACGUCAAAUAAUCUAAUCAAGGCACAAAACUUAGUAAAACAUAAGACUUUACCUUCGGUUGGGGCGACCAUGGAGGAAAAAACAGCCUCCAAGUGGAUUGGACACAUUCCAAAAACCAAGAGAAACAUCUCUACGUCACAGAACAUCUGACCAAUUAUGAUCCGGUCACAAGACCGAUCAACGGACCAAGUUACCCUAGGGAUAACAGCGCAAUCCUCUCCAAGAGUCCAUAUCGACGAGGGGGUUUACGACCUCGAUGUUGGAUCAGGACAUCCUAAUGGUGCAGCCGCUAUUAAGGGUUCGUUUGUUCAACGAUUAACAGUCCUACGUGAUCUGAGUUCAGACCGGAGUAAUCCAGGUCAGUUUCUAUCUGUAAAGCUACUUUUUUCUAGUACGAAAGGAUUGAAAAAAGGGGGCCCAUGCUCAAAGCACGCCCCACCUCAAAUUUAUGAGUAAAAUAAAUAAAAUAAAGGGGGGCAAUAAUGCCAACACCCAAAAUAAGGAUUU
RNAcentral lists this ribosomal RNA (1673 nucleotides) under Devario devario (Sind dario). Its description in RNAcentral is "16S rRNA". The stretch from base 95 to 1591 matches the Rfam family "Bacterial large subunit ribosomal RNA". The record is from RNAcentral. Lineage: Eukaryota; Metazoa; Chordata; Actinopteri; Cypriniformes; Danionidae.